AUAAGGAGUCGGACCUGCCCAGUGAAGUAAUAUUUUAACGGCCGCGGUACUCUGACCGUGCAAAGGUAGCAUAAUCAUUUGCCCUAUAAUUGAGGGCUAGUAUGAAUGGUUUGACAAGAAUAAAGCUGUCUCUAUACAAUUAUAUAGAAUUUUAUUUUUAGGUGAAGAAGCCUAAAUAAAAUUAAAAGACAAGAAGACCCUAUUGAGCUUUAAAUAAAUUAAUAAAUUAAUAGAAAUAUUUAUUUAAAAUAGUAAUUAUUAAAGAUUUUGGUUGGGGCGACAAAGGAACACAUAAAGCUUCUUUUUAAUUUGAAUUACAAGACAGGUGUUGAUCCAUAAAAUUUUGAUUAAAGAAAUUAGUUACCAUAGGGAUAACAGCAUUAUCUUUUUUGAGAGCUCAUAUCGAAAAAAAGGUUUGUGACCUCGAUGUUGGACCAGAAUGUCCUAAAGAUGCAGAAGUCUUUAAGGGUUGGUCUGUUCGACCAUUAAAAUUCUA
RNAcentral lists this ribosomal RNA (496 nucleotides) under Ranella olearium. RNAcentral's name for it is "partial 16S ribosomal RNA". It matches the Rfam family "Bacterial large subunit ribosomal RNA", at positions 1845 to 2598 of the family's 2925-position model. The record is from RNAcentral. Lineage: Eukaryota; Metazoa; Mollusca; Gastropoda; Littorinimorpha; Ranellidae.